UUCUAGCCCCGAUUGCAACGGAAAUCCUUUUGUGCCGUUUUUCGGCAUAAAAGAUUGAAGUGAAAAGCGGGAUUAGCU
RNAcentral lists this small RNA (78 nucleotides) under Flavobacterium sp. 102. Its description in RNAcentral is "Flavo-1 RNA". It matches the Rfam family "Flavo-1 RNA". The record is from RNAcentral. Lineage: Bacteria; Pseudomonadati; Bacteroidota; Flavobacteriia; Flavobacteriales; Flavobacteriaceae.